UACGUAGGGUGCGAGCGUUGUCCGGAAUUAUUGGGCGUAAAGAGCUCGUAGGCGGUGUGUCGCGUCGGCUGUGAAAACCCGGAGCUCAACUCCGGGCCUGCAGUCGAUACGGGCAGACUCGAGUGUUGCAGGGGAGACUGGAAUUCCUGGUGUAGCGGUGAAAUGCGCAGAUAUCAGGAGGAACACCGGUGGCGAAGGCGGGUCUCUGGGCCGUAACUGACGCUGAGGAGCGAAAGCAUGGGGAGCGAACAGG
Molecule: ribosomal RNA, 253 nt
Filed under: uncultured bacterium
Lineage: Bacteria
Description: partial 16S ribosomal RNA
Rfam family: Bacterial small subunit ribosomal RNA
Source: RNAcentral